This 209-nucleotide unclassified non-coding RNA is filed under the name Vishniacozyma victoriae. Its description in RNAcentral is "partial internal transcribed spacer region". The stretch from base 1 to 46 matches the Rfam family "Eukaryotic small subunit ribosomal RNA", at positions 1786 to 1831 of the family's 1831-position model. Lineage: Eukaryota; Fungi; Basidiomycota; Tremellomycetes; Tremellales; Bulleribasidiaceae. The record is from RNAcentral.
AAGUCAUAACAAGGUUUCCGUAGGUGAACCUGCGGAAGGAUCAUUAAUAGUGCCCUCUGAUGCAAAUCAUUGGGUUAGAUCUGCUCUCUUCGCAUGAAGAGGGUUUCCAUACACACCGUGAACUGUGGCUUCGGCCAUCACAAACUGUUAGUAAUGAAUGUAAUAUCAUAACAAAAACAAAACUUUUAACAACGGAUCUCUUGGCUCUC